UACGAGGGGGGCGAGCGUUGUUCGGAAUUAUUGGGCGUAAAGGGUGCGUAGGCGGUUUGGUAAGUCUUAUGUGAAAUCUACAGGCUCAACUUGUAGUCUGUAUGAGAAACUGCCGGGCUUGAGUAUGGGAGAGGUGAGUGGAAUUCCUGGUGUAGCGGUGAAAUGCGUAGAUAUCGGGAAGAACACCAAAGGCGAAAGCGCUCUGCUGGGCCGAAACUGACACUGAGAGACGAAAGCUAGGGGAGCGAAUGGG
RNAcentral lists this ribosomal RNA (253 nucleotides) under uncultured bacterium. Its description in RNAcentral is "partial 16S ribosomal RNA". It matches the Rfam family "Bacterial small subunit ribosomal RNA", at positions 524 to 776 of the family's 1533-position model. The record is from RNAcentral.